This 466-nucleotide ribosomal RNA is filed under the name uncultured bacterium. RNAcentral describes it as "partial 16S ribosomal RNA". It matches the Rfam family "Bacterial small subunit ribosomal RNA", at positions 28 to 507 of the family's 1533-position model. The record is from RNAcentral.
GACGAACGCUGGCGGCGUGCUUAACACAUGCAAGUCGAACGGAAAGGCCCUGCUUUUGUGGGGUGCUCGAGUGGCGAACGGGUGAGUAACACGUGAGUAACCUGCCCUUGACUUUGGGAUAACUUCAGGAAACUGGGGCUAAUACCGGAUAGGAGCUCCUGCUGCAUGGUGGGGGUUGGAAAGUUUCGGCGGUUGGGGAUGGACUCGCGGCUUAUCAGCUUGUUGGUGGGGUAGUGGCUUACCAAGGCUUUGACGGGUAGCCGGCCUGAGGGUGACCGGCCACAUUGGGACUGAGAUACGGCCCAGACUCCUACGGGAGGCAGCAGUGGGGAAUAUUGCACAAUGGGCGGAAGCCUGAUGCAGCAACGCCGCGUGCGGGAUGACGGCCUUCGGGUUGUAAACCGCUUUCGCCUGUGACGAAGCGUGAGUGACGGUAAUGGGUAAAGAGGCACCGGCUAACUACGUG